RNAcentral lists this ribosomal RNA (719 nucleotides) under uncultured bacterium. RNAcentral's name for it is "bacterial SSU rRNA". It matches the Rfam family "Bacterial small subunit ribosomal RNA", at positions 767 to 1499 of the family's 1533-position model. The record is from RNAcentral.
AGCGAAAGGAUAGAUACCCGGUAGUCUGCCGUAAUCGAUGACAUAGGGUUCGGAGGAAUCGACCCUCGUGUCGUAGCUACGCGUUAAGUGUUCGGCCUGGGGAGUACGCACGCAAGUGUGAAACUCAAAGGAAUUGACGAGAGCGCACAAGCGGUGGAGUAUGUGGUUUAAUUCGAUGCAACGCGAAGAUCCUUAGCAGGGUUUGACAUCCUGCGAACCUCUUAGAAAUUUGAGGGUGCCUUCGGGAAUGCAGUGACAGGUGGUGCAUGGCUGUCGUCAGCUCGUGUCGUGAGAUGUUGCUUAAGUCCCGCAACGAGCGCAACCCACGUUUUUAGUUGCCAGCAUUUAGUUGAGCACUCUAGAAAGACCGCUGGUGAUAAACCGGAGGAAGGUGUGGAUGACGUCAAGUCAUCAUGCCCCUUACACCCUGGGCUACACACGUACUACAAUGCUACGGACAAAGGGCAGCAAACUCGCGAGAGCUAGCAAAUCCCAUAAACCGUGGCUCAGUUCAGAUCGUAGGCUGCAACUCGCCUACGUGAAGUAGGAAUCGCUAGUAAUCGCAGGUCAGCAUACUGCGGUGAAUACGUUCCCGGGCCUUGUACACACCGCCCGUCACACCAUGGAAGUUGGCCAUGCCCGAAGUCGUUACUCCAACCCUUGUGGAGGAGGACGCCGAAGGUGGGGCUAAUGACUGGGGUGAAGUCGUAACAAGGUAA